RNAcentral lists this non-coding RNA (98 nucleotides) under Kurthia sp. 11kri321. Its description in RNAcentral is "Glycine riboswitch aptamer". It matches the Rfam family "Glycine riboswitch aptamer". From Rfam's summary of the family: This family represents the bacterial glycine riboswitch. Glycine riboswitches usually consist of two metabolite-binding aptamers domains with similar structures in tandem. RNAcentral also lists the same sequence under 1 other name. Lineage: Bacteria; Bacillati; Bacillota; Bacilli; Caryophanales; Caryophanaceae. The record is from Rfam by way of RNAcentral.
GUGAAUGUACGGGGAGAGAACGUAAAGUUACGUCGCCGAAGGAGCAAGUAGUGAAAAAUCACUAUGAAUCUCUCAGGCAAAAAGACUCGUACAGGACG